AUGCUACUCCCUCCGUCCGGAAAUACUUGUCAUCAAAAUGAACAGAAGGGGAUGUAUCUAGAUGUAUAUUAGUUCUAGAUACAUCCUUUUUUAUUCAUUUUGAUGACAAGUAUUCUCGGAAGGAGGGAGUAUAUG
Triticum aestivum (bread wheat) is the source of this 135-nucleotide non-coding RNA. The record is from Rfam. NCBI's taxonomy places the organism in Eukaryota, Viridiplantae, Streptophyta, Magnoliopsida, Poales, Poaceae.